Molecule: long non-coding RNA, 228 nt
Filed under: Capsicum annuum
Lineage: Eukaryota; Viridiplantae; Streptophyta; Magnoliopsida; Solanales; Solanaceae
Description: long non-coding RNA (CANN_LNC012559)
Source: RNAcentral
AAGUUUCCCUUCUUUUAUGUCUCAGAUCAUGCUCUAGAAAGGUCCUCUAAGAAAGUUACAUAGAUUCUCAGCAUGCUUCACUCAUGUCAAUUCCACCUUACCUUCAAUGUAAUAUAAAUAGUGAAGUUCAAAGUCCUAGAUAUAGGUCUUUCUUAGACCAUUGUAAUAACCCAAGAUCCUAUCCCCAGAUGUCACACGGUGCUUAUGACCCCAAAGGACCACAAGCUA